CCUACGGGUGGCAGCAGUGGGGAAUAUUGCACAAUGGGGGAAACCCUGAUGCAGCGACGCCGCGUGAGUGAAGAAGUAUUUCGGUAUGUUAAGCUCUAUCAGCAGGAACGAGACAAGACGGUACCUGACUAAGAAGCCCCGGCUAACUACGUGCCAGCAGCCGCGGUAAUACGUAGGGGGCAAGGGUUACCCGGAAUCACUGGGUGUAAAGGGAGCGUAGACGGGUGAGCAAGCCGGAAGUGAAAGGCGGGGGCCCAACCCCCGGACUGCUUUGGAAACUGAACGGUGGGAGUGCAGGAGAGGUAAGUGGAAUUCCUAGUGUAGCGGUGAAAUGCGUAGAUAUUAGGAGGAACACCAGUGGCGAAGGCGGCUUACUGGACCGUAACUGACGUUGAGGCUCGAAAGCGUGGGGAGCAAACAGGAUUAGAUACCCCUGUAGUC
RNAcentral lists this ribosomal RNA (441 nucleotides) under uncultured bacterium. RNAcentral describes it as "partial 16S ribosomal RNA". It matches the Rfam family "Bacterial small subunit ribosomal RNA", at positions 338 to 795 of the family's 1533-position model. The record is from RNAcentral.